Myotis lucifugus (little brown bat) is the source of this 107-nucleotide small nuclear RNA. The record is from Ensembl. NCBI's taxonomy places the organism in Eukaryota, Metazoa, Chordata, Mammalia, Chiroptera, Vespertilionidae.
GAGCUCACUUCAGCAGCACGAAUACUAAAAUUGGAAUGAUACAGAGAAUAUUAGCAUGGCCUCUGUGCAAGGAUGACCUGCAAAUUCGUGAAGCAUUCCAUAUUUUU